UCCCAAAUCCCAAUCGCCCUUUACUGCUUCGGUAGCCGGUACUCCCCUUCCCCUAUGGGCUUCGGCUUCAGCAAAUCAUCCAUCUGACACCCGCGCGCGGCUCACAGCCGCAAGCCGCCACCGACCCACGGCCACGAUCCACAAUUCCGGAUUUACGAAGUGACACGAUCACAAACAGUCGAAUAGGAUCCACCGUCCACAGCUCACCUCCUCCGAACACGACCCACGGUUCGCGGCUCACCUUCUCCAACGGAUUGUUGCAGCAUGGCGGCUGAUGUCAUGGUGAAAGUGGAGCAGCUGAAUCCCUGCUGUGCAUUGUUGAAAGGGAAAUACAUGAAGUUGGAAGAGAAACGAAAUGCCCUUCGGCAAGCUGUGAAGCUCCUUGAACAAGAAAUUAAUAAGGUUCAAGCAGAGAAUCUCAAUCUUAGGAAAGCAUAUGAAGAAGUGCGAGCACAAGCUGACAUUGUGAGAGAGGAGAAGGUGAAAGAAUCAGAUGUUAGAGUUACCUUGGAAAAUGAGGUAUUUUCUUUGAAGUCUGAAGUCUCUUUGUUGCAGCAAAAGGGAUGCUUGGGAGCUCAAGGUCUACAUGAAGAAAUAAAAUUGCUUCAAGAACGUGUUUCUGAAGCGGAAACAGAGAUAAAUAGGCUGAAUGAUCUUCUUGAGAAAGAGAAAUUAAGGGCAGUGACAGAGAAGAAUAAAGCUGCUGAAGCUUGGGGAAUUGUGAAAGCUGAAAAGAGCAGGGCUGAUGAAGCAGAAAAGAGAUUUGCUGAUAUUGAAGGUAGAAAAGCUGAGGAAUAUCGGAUUCAGUUGGAGACUGCAAGGAAAGAAGCUGAUCAAGCUAAAUCAAAAAUGAUUUUGGAGACAGUUAAGACGCAGGAGGAAAACAUCAAUAGGCUGAAAGAGCUUCUUGAAAAAGAGAAAUUAAAGGCAGACAUGGAGAAGAAGAAAGCUGCUGCAGAGACUAACAGAGCCGCUGAAGCAUGGAAAAUUGUUAAAGCCGAAAAGAGUAGGGCUGAUGAGGAGAGAAGGCGUGCUAACAUUGAAGGCAAAAAUGCUGAGAAACAUCGGAUUCAUUUGGAGGCCAUAAAGAAAGAAGCUGAUGAAGCGAGAUCAAAAUUGGUUCUAGAGGCUGUUGAGGAAAGGAAGCGUGCUGAUAUUGAAGGUAAGAAAGCUGAGGAAUAUAGGAUUCAGUUGGAGACUGUAAAGAAAGAAGAUGCUGAGGCUAGGUCAAAGUUGGAUUUGGUGAUGGCUAAUUUUGAAGAGGCAAACAAGAUGCUUAAAGUUGAAAAGCAGAAAGCAAUGAAAUUGAAAGAGCAUGAGGAUUCAGAAAGGUUGAAAACAAAAGAGCUGAAGAAGCUUGCGGAAGCAAAUAGGAAAAAUGCUAUGGCUGAAAGGUCUCGGGCUGAUUGUCUCUCCCAGCAGUUGAAAGAGGAUAAGCUGUUGAUUGAGGAAUUACGAAAGGAGAAACAUCAACUUAUCUCUUCCUUAGAAUUGGCUGAAACUGCACCAGAUGGUUUUGGGCCAGAGACAAUGAGUAGAGAAUCUGACGGAAGACAGCUGGUUUUGGAGUUUCUAAAGCAGGAAGAUACAAACAAAAUGACUGAAGUUGUAAAAGAAAAGGCAUAUACAGUGAAAAAAUGUGCUGGUCUGGAGAUAGUGGAACUGGAAGAGCAGAGAAAGCUUGUGGAAGUGUACAGAAAGAUGGCCAUGGAAGAAAAACAUUGCGCUGAUCAGUUAUCUCAGCAAUUGGAAGCAGAUAGGUGUACAAUUGAGAAAUUAAAGAAGGAGAAACAUGAACUUGAGUCCUCCAAAAGUUUUACUAGGAGACCUGCAAUGAAAGCUGAAUCUGAAAGGAUGAAGCUUUUGAAAAAACAAUUGAAGUUUGAAAAGAUGCAAGUCAAGCAUGCCAUAAAAAUGGCUAAAUUGGAAAAAGGUCGUAGUAGUAUGCUACAUCAAGAAGUCUGUCGCCUAAAGCAGGAAUUUGUUCAAUUUUCACAUCGCUUGGAUGUACUGGAUAGCUGUUCCUCAUGCUGCACUGAAGGUAUAGAUGACAUUGCAAAGACUAGCAGUUUCUCAUAUAUGCAAAUCUUGGACAUGAAGAGAAAAGUCAUGGGUGUAGAAGCAUUUCAGAAUACCUCUGAUUGUUUGAAGCAAGUUGUAGAUUGUACUGCACCACUGCUUCAAGAGUCUGAGAGGAAAUUUGUUGAAUCUGUCUCAGGUAUUGAUUCUAAAUUGGGGCCUCUGCUUGGAGGCUCUCAAAGAAAAAUGUUACAGAGUUCUGCCUUAAAUUCCAGUAAGGCGUCUUUUUCUGAUAGACAAUUGGUGGGCUCACAGGAAAAGGGUGCCUUUUCUGUUAUGACAUCAGCAAAAUUGAUGGAAGAGAACUCGAAUCCACAGCCUUUUAUUACCAAAUUACCGGGUAAUGUCAACAGAAUGAACUACAAUGAAAAUUCUGCUGUUGUCGCUGAAAAUAGUGUCAGAAGCCCCCUUUGCACGAAUGUUGUUGGAAGAGUAAGUGGGCGAAGUAGCAAGAGGAAGAGGAUCCUUGAUGCUGUUGAAUCCAUUGAAUGUAUGAAUUCUAAAGGUAAGAAGCUGCAUUUACAGAUUGAAGAAAGGCUGCAUGUUCUACAUGAUAUGUUAAACAGACAAAUGGACAAGUCUUUAGAAGUUGAAAGAUAUCUCACCUCUACUCUGCAAGAAGAUUCGUGUGUUAAACAUGAUGGAUCUCGUAAGAAGAGGGCAUUUCAUCGAGAGGAGGGGGGUAUGCAGCAUUUAUGUGACAUGGAUGAGCAACAGAAGAGGAAAAAACUUGGAACUAAUACCAGUGGAGAGGCAAAUCUCCAAACCCAAGCACCCUUUCGUGCUGAUACUCGAACAGAAUAUGUUCAGGUAUGCAAGGAUGAAAUCAGUGAUUUUGUUAGAGGCAAUCAAGAAAGGGUUGAUAGUUUUGAAGAAGUAGCUGAUGGUAACUACAUGAAAUUGCUUGAACUGGAUAAUGCAAUUGAUGAGGAGUGUUACCAGGCUGCACUUAAGAUGCCUUUGUCUCCCUCUCUUCCUGAGAUUUCUGAAGUGUUGCUUAUGGAUGACUCUGAAUGCUUAGUAGAGGAAAGAUUUCAUGAAAUAAUUACAAAUGGAAAAGAUAAUCUGGUGUCAUCUCAAAGCUUUGAAGUCAUCAAUGUUGAGAUAAAUUCCAAUGAGUCAAAACUGAGUCAUCCUGAAGCUUUUCACGAACCAAUGUUGCAAGAGAGCAUAGAUUAUGUUGAUUCUUGUGGAAAAGCAGAGCACAUCGAAAAUGCUUUUAGUUCUGGAUGUGUUGGAAAAGCUAGUGCUCAGCAGGUUUUCAUCACUGACAUGGAGUUGCAUGCAUCAAAUAUGUUGCGUCCUGUGCAUGAGGGGGAGAAAUUUCCAUGUGAAAGUGAAAAUAAAUCAUGUGGUAGUAUCCCUAAUUUUUGUGUUGUGUUUUCAGACACUAAAAAGAUAAGUAGCAUUUCUAGGAUUUUCUGUGCUACAAGAAAUUGUAUGGCUCGUUGCUGUUUGGCCUCUCAAAUGGAUUGGGCAGUGCCAGAAAUUCUGCGGGCCCUUCUUCUGGAAGAUGAUCUUUUACCUGGGGAGAAGGCUUGUGUGUUCUUUUCACUCUUGCUGCAUCACUUUUCUGGCACUGCUUUAAGGUUCAUUGGAAACUUUUUGGCAGGACUGUCUAAACUUUGCUUAGAUUCCUUUGCUGCACACAUAUCCGCAGUGAUGUCUGAUGUGGAGACAAGAAGGAUCUUUGCAGAUUUAUGUGACUUGGACGAGCUGUUUAGUCUGAUUGAGGAAUUCCUUGUAAAUGGAAAAGUUCUGGUCUAUAAUGAUGAAUCUGCAGAGUCGUUGCUUGAAUGCGAUUCAAGAAUUGACAUCUUUCUUGAUGGUGUGAAUAUAAACUUGUCUGAAGAAACUGCUGUGACGUGCCAAUUGGUGGGAGGGAGCAUUAUAUUAGCAUCAAUUUGUGUAGCACUUGAUCAAAUUGGUUUUAUAUGUGAGGCUUCCUACAACAUUUUCCGGAUGCAUAGAUUUGAUUCUUCACUGUCGCUGACCAUUCUUCAUGUUUUUGCUCAUCUGUGUGGGGAGCAAUAUCUGACUCUGCAUAACUACAGUUUAACAAUGGCUGUUGUGAAAUCUAUGGUUAUAUAUCUUGAGAGAGAAAAGCCACCUGGUGCUGCUUGUCUUCCUUCUCCAAGUGAGGCUUUGACCGAGUUCCCGCCUUGUGCUAGAUGCCCAUUUUCUGAAGGUGCAGUUUCUGUAGAUAUUGUUAUAUCAUUGCUCUUGGAAAAGCUUCAGAGCUGUGCUCUAUCAGGGACCAUGCAUCAGCAUAUGCUGGAAACAAUUGACUUGUUGAAUUCUAGCAUCCCAUCCAAUCAUACAAAGGAUCAACAAAGUUCAGGUAAUGGAGAUUCUGGCUCAGUUCUGAAUGGGAAAUUUUAUGCAUCAUGUUUGAGUAAUUUUGGGAUGCCGUCUGCUCGAUCAGAGUCCGCUUUUGAUAUGACCUUGUAUCAAUUCAGUGACAUCAUCUCAUUAGUGGAGCUGAUUGCUUACAAGAUGACAUGGCGCUGGACAUGUGAUAAAAUUGUCCCUCAGCUGUUGAAAAUAUUUGAAUCUUGUGUCCAGGAGAAAUUUGCAGCUGCCAUAGUUAUUCUGCUUGGUCAACUCGGGAAGCUUGGACUUGAUGAUAGUGGGCAUGAAGAUAUGGGAAUUCGAAAUCUGAGAUCUAGAUUUUCUGCUUUACUGGCCUGUUACUCUCCUGGGAUAUCGAAUUUUUCUCUUCAAGUUGCUGUAGUUUAUGCAUUGCUUGGCAUUCUUUCAUUUGAUUUUGAGGAACUUCUUCAGAGUAAUGCGGAAGUUCGAGCAUUUGCUGGUGAAUCUGGUCCUGCUGAUCUCAUAAAGAAUUGGUUUUAUUCACUGGGCAGUGAGCAACAGUCAGUGUGUGUAGGCUUUUUAAAAUCUGAUGGGGUGCUCAAGAACCGAGGAACUUGAGAGCAAAAGAACUGUAUAUCUGUACUGAUAUUUUUCUCGCCAAAUUUGGAACAUCAUUAAUGCAGUGAAUUGGUUUUAUUCACCGGGCAGUGAGCAACAGUCGGUGUGUGUAGGCUUUUUAAAAUCUGACGGGGUGCUCAAGAACUGAGGUACUUGAGAGCGGAAGAAGUGUAUAUCUGUACUGACAUUUUUCUCACCCAAAUUUGGAAUGAGUGUCAUUAAAGCAGGUGCUUGAGAGGUUUGAGUCCUGUUUAAUUUGUUCGCAUGAAAUAUAACUUCUCUUCAUCUAAUUUGUGAUGCUUCUUGAGUGGUUUCUCUGUGGUUUCUCUGAUUUUCAGUAUGCAUAUAGUGGAAUUGUGGUGGUUCAAUGGUUGUGACAAAAGCAGUCUAAUCUGAUGUGAGCUGCUGCUAUUGUUGGAUGCGCGGCUUUCUGCUUUGGUGGUAUUUUGUGGUAGAAGAUCUCAUGGGCGUAUGGUUUCUGAUUCAAUGGCAAUUGAAAUUCAAUUUUAAUUGCUUCCCUGAAUGGUUGGCCAGGGUUUUGGCCAUUGGGUUAGGUAAUUCUUUCCCAUGCUUGAUUGCAUCUUGUAAUUUUCCAUUAGUUUAAUCACUUUCAUCAUUAUGCAUCACACUGAUAGCUCCUGGUCUAUUUUUUCCCCCUUUCUCACGAACUUUGUUGUUUAAAUUAGUGAUGACAAUUACAAUUCAUACCCACUGAUCCAUCCAUAUAAAUAAAAGGGUUACGAUAUAUCAUGUGAA
Malania oleifera is the source of this 5766-nucleotide RNA transcript. RefSeq lists it as uncharacterized. Lineage: Eukaryota; Viridiplantae; Streptophyta; Magnoliopsida; Santalales; Ximeniaceae. The record is from RefSeq and is a predicted model, not a curated record. The transcript has 10 exons.